This 484-nucleotide ribosomal RNA is filed under the name uncultured bacterium. RNAcentral describes it as "partial 16S ribosomal RNA". It matches the Rfam family "Bacterial small subunit ribosomal RNA", at positions 30 to 507 of the family's 1533-position model. The record is from RNAcentral.
AUUGAACGCUGGCGGCAGGCCUAACACAUGCAAGUCGAGCGGCUGAAGGGAGCUUGCUCCUGGAUUCAGCGGCGGACGGGUGAGUAAUGCCUAGGAAUCUGCCUGGCAGUGGGGGAUAACGUCCGGAAACGGGCGCUAAUACCGCAUACGUCCAGAGGGAGAACGUGGGGGAUCUUCGGACCUCACGCUAUCAGAUGAGCCUAGGUCGGAUUAGCUAGUUGGUGGGGUAAAGGCCUACCAAGGCGACGAUCCGUAACUGGUCUGAGAGGAUGAUCAGUCACACUGGAACUGAGACACGGUCCAGACUCCUACGGGAGGCAGCAGUGGGGAAUAUUGGACAAUGGGCGAAAGCCUGAUCCAGCCAUGCCGCGUGUGUGAAGAAGGUCUUCGGAUUGUAAAGCACUUUAAGUUGGGAGGAAGGGCAGUAAGUUAAUACCUUGCUGUUUUGACGUUACCAACAGAAUAAGCACCGGCUAACUUCGUG